Molecule: small nucleolar RNA, 121 nt
Organism: Echinops telfairi (small Madagascar hedgehog)
Lineage: Eukaryota; Metazoa; Chordata; Mammalia; Afrosoricida; Tenrecidae
Source: Ensembl
ACCCUCCAAAUACUUUGCUGCUCAGAUCUACUUACUCCUCUGAGUGGUGAUAAAAGGAGGAAAAGUAAAACUGAGGUGAGCUUGGGGUCUUGAAUGACUUACAAGUUCAUUUCAAACAUCA